AGGACGAACGCUGGCGGUGUGCUUCACACAUGCAAGUCGAACGAGGUAGCAAUACCUAGUGGCGGACGGGUGAGUAACGCGUGGGAAUCUGCCUUUGAAUGGGGGAUAACGGGCCGAAAGGUCCGCUAAUACCGCAUAGGCCGCAAGGUUAAAGGAGUAAUCCGUUCAAAGAUGAGCCCGCGUCCGAUUAGCUAGUUGGUAGGGUAAAAGCCUACCAAGGCGACGAUCGGUAGCUGGUCUGAGAGGAUGAUCAGCCACAAUGGGACUGAGACACGGCCCAUACUCCUACGGGAGGCAGCAGUGGGGAAUUUUACGCAAUGGGCGAAAGCCUGACGUAGCGACACCGCGUGAGCGAAGAAGCCCUUUGGGGUGUAAAGCUCUGUCGGCUGGAACGAAAAAAUGACGGUACCAGCAAAGGAAGCAUCGGCUAACUACGUGCCAGCAGCCGC
Molecule: ribosomal RNA, 449 nt
Filed under: uncultured bacterium
Lineage: Bacteria
Description: SSU rRNA
Rfam family: Bacterial small subunit ribosomal RNA
Source: RNAcentral